This 65-nucleotide transfer RNA is filed under the name Dipodomys ordii (Ord's kangaroo rat). It matches the Rfam family "tRNA". From Rfam's summary of the family: Transfer RNA (tRNA) molecules are approximately 80 nucleotides in length. The record is from Rfam by way of RNAcentral. Lineage: Eukaryota; Metazoa; Chordata; Mammalia; Rodentia; Heteromyidae.
GGUGACUCAAUGGUAGAGUGCUUGCCUUGCAUGCAUGAAGCCCUGGGUUCGAUUCCUCAGUACCA